CAAACAUUCCUAUUGUCAAGCAAAAACAGGUGCAUGUCUACAUUGUGAAUCUGGAUUCUACGGUCAUCAAUGUGAACUGAAAUGUGAUGGGGGAAGAUAUGGACAAGACUGUAGAGAGACAUGUGGAGCGUGUCUGGGAUAUAAACAAUGCCAUCACAUCAAUGGUACUUGCCUUGACGGAUGUGAUGCUGGAUAUGAGGGACAACUUUGUAAAACGGGAUGUUCUGCUGGAAAGUUCGGUUUUGACUGUCAAAAGAAUUGUAAUGAACACUGUAAAGUACCAUAUAAAUGUAACAAAGGGACAGGAGAAUGUGAGGAUGGUUGUCAGCCUGGCUGGG
Molecule: long non-coding RNA, 338 nt
Organism: Saccostrea cuccullata (small rock oyster)
Lineage: Eukaryota; Metazoa; Mollusca; Bivalvia; Ostreida; Ostreidae
Exons: 3
Source: RefSeq, a predicted model, not a curated record